UACGUAGGGGGCAAGCGUUUGUCCGGAUUUAUUGGGCGUAAAGAGCUCGUAGGCGGCUUGGCAAGUCGGGUGUGAAAACUCCAGGCUCAACCUGGAGAUGCCACUCGAGACUGCUAUGGCUAGAGUCCGGUAGGGGACCACGGAAUUCCUGGUGUAGCGGUGAAAUGCGCAGAUAUCAGGAGGAACACCGGUGGCGAAGGCGGUGGUCUGGGCCGGCACUGACGCUGAGGAGCGAAAGCGUGGGGAGCAAACAGG
RNAcentral lists this ribosomal RNA (255 nucleotides) under uncultured bacterium. Its description in RNAcentral is "partial 16S ribosomal RNA". It matches the Rfam family "Bacterial small subunit ribosomal RNA", at positions 524 to 776 of the family's 1533-position model. The record is from RNAcentral.